UGAGGAAUCUUGGACAAUGGGCGAAAGCUUGAUCCAGCAAUACCGAGUGGGUGAGACGGAGGCUAAUUAGGUCGUAAAGCCCUUUCAUCGAGAAGAGACAAUGACAAGACUCGAAAAAGAAGCCCCGUCUAACUCCGUG
RNAcentral lists this ribosomal RNA (139 nucleotides) under uncultured bacterium. RNAcentral describes it as "partial 16S ribosomal RNA". It matches the Rfam family "Bacterial small subunit ribosomal RNA", at positions 355 to 507 of the family's 1533-position model. The record is from RNAcentral.